Molecule: ribosomal RNA, 964 nt
Filed under: human oral metagenome
Description: bacterial SSU rRNA
Rfam family: Bacterial small subunit ribosomal RNA
Source: RNAcentral
AGAGUUUGAUCCUGGCUCAGGACGAACGCUGGCGGCGUGCCUAAUACAUGCAAGUUGAGCGCUGAAGGUUGGUACUUGUACCAACUGGAUGAGCAGCGAACGGGUGAGUAACGCGUGGGGAAUCUGCCUUUGAGCGGGGGACAACAUUUGGAAACGAAUGCUAAUACCGCAUAAAAACUUUAAACACAAGUUUUAAGUUUGAAAGAUGCAAUUGCAUCACUCAAAGAUGAUCCCGCGUUGUAUUAGCUAGUUGGUGAGGUAAAGGCUCACCAAGGCGAUGAUACAUAGCCGACCUGAGAGGGUGAUCGGCCACAUUGGGACUGAGACACGGCCCAAACUCCUACGGGAGGCAGCAGUAGGGAAUCUUCGGCAAUGGACGAAAGUCUGACCGAGCAACGCCGCGUGAGUGAAGAAGGUUUUCGGAUCGUAAAACUCUGUUGGUAGAGAAGAACGUUGGUGAGAGUGGAAAGCUCAUCAAGUGACGGUAACUACCCAGAAAGGGACGGCUAACUACGUGCCAGCAGCCGCGGUAAUACGUAGGUCCCGAGCGUUGUCCGGAUUUAUUGGGCGUAAAGCGAGCGCAGGUGGUUUAUUAAGUCUGGUGUAAAAGGCAGUGGCUCAACCAUUGUAUGCAUUGGAAACUGGUAGACUUGAGUGCAGGAGAGGAGAGUGGAAUUCCAUGUGUAGCGGUGAAAUGCGUAGAUAUAUGGAGGAACACCGGUGGCGAAAGCGGCUCUCUGGCCUGUAACUGACACUGAGGCUCGAAAGCGUGGGGAGCAAACAGGAUUAGAUACCCUGGUAGUCCACGCCGUAAACGAUGAGUGCUAGAUGUAGGGAGCUAUAAGUUCUCUGUAUCGCAGCUAACGCAAUAAGCACUCCGCCUGGGGAGUACGACCGCAAGGUUGAAACUCAAAGGAAUUGACGGGGGCCCGCACAAGCGGUGGAGCAUGUGGUUUAAUUCGAA